Molecule: unclassified non-coding RNA, 260 nt
Filed under: Hevea brasiliensis (rubber tree)
Lineage: Eukaryota; Viridiplantae; Streptophyta; Magnoliopsida; Malpighiales; Euphorbiaceae
Source: RNAcentral
GAUAAAGAUUGACAAUUAAAGAUGACAAGCUAGCAUGUCUUCAUUUGUGGUCAGUAUUGAAAGUAGAUUUGAUUUCUAGAUUUUCUACCUUGUCUUCGAAAAUAGAGGGCAGAAGACCAUACUGACUUACGUGCAGAAGUUGCAGAGCUGCUAACAAAUCAUGAGGCUUGUAAGCUUGUGUUGAAAUUUCUUAUGAUCUAUAUGUUCCAGGAAAAUGGCUAAUUUUGUAAGGGUUGAAUCAUUUGCAAGUUCUUGGUGGA